This 1328-nucleotide ribosomal RNA is filed under the name metagenome. RNAcentral describes it as "SSU rRNA". It matches the Rfam family "Eukaryotic small subunit ribosomal RNA", at positions 603 to 1772 of the family's 1831-position model. The record is from RNAcentral.
AUUAAAGUUGCUGCGGUUAAAAAGCUCGUAGUUGGAUUACGAAGUGGUGUUUAAAUGUCAUUUUGGUUUGUUUGUCUUUCGGGGCAUUCAGGUCAACUUGGCUUUUACUCACUGUUGUCAUUGUCUUUGCCCAAGGUAUAUGCCUUGUGUGCAUGGCAUUGACCUUCUAUUUUAUGGUAAUGUUGUAUCUUUCGGGGUACAUUCAUUCCAUAUAGUUUACUUUGAAAAAAUUAGGGUGUUUAAAGCAGGCGAAAAGGCUUCGGAAUAUAUUAGCAUGGGAUAAUAGAAUACGAUCUAGGUCGUAAUUUGUUGGUUUCUACGGCUUAGGUAAUGAUUGACAGGGAUAGUUGGGGUCGCUCGUAUUGAGUUGUCAGAGGUGAAAUUCUAGGAUUAACUCAAGACGAACUAAUGCGAAAGCAUUCGGCAAGGAUGUUUUCAUUAAUCAAGAACGAAAGUUGGGGGAUCGAAGAUGAUCAGAUACCGUCGUAGUCUCAACUGUAAACUAUGUCGACCGAGGAUCCGGUAGCGUUACAUGGAUGACCUUCCGGGCACUCUGUGAGAAAUCAUAAGUAUUUGGAUUUCGGGGGGAGUAUGGUCGCAAGGCUGAAACUUAAAGGGAUUGACGGAAGGGCACCACCAGGAGUGGAAUCUGCGGCUUAAUUUGACUCAACACGGGAAAACUUACCAGGUCCGGACACAGUGAGGAUUGACAGAUUGAGAGCUCUUUCUUGAUUUUGUGGGUGGUGGUGCAUGGCCGUUUUUAGUUGGUGGAGUGAUUUGUCUGGUUAAUUCCGUUAACGAACGAGACCUUAACCUAUUAAAUAGCUGCGCGAACCCAGGUUCUUUAACCAUUCUCUCCUUCGGGGGGGCGUGGUAUCAUUAUUUUGCUUUUCACUUUCGGGUGGGAGGUAGGGUAGUGAUAGGGCCUGAGAUGAGUUGGUGAUUUGGCUUCUUAGAGGGACUACUUGCAUCCUUAGCAAGGGGAGGUUUGAGGCAAAAACAGGUCUGUGAUGCCCUUCGAUGUUCUGGGCUGCACGCGCGUUACACUGGCGCAUGCAAAGAGUUUAAAAUUCCUGUCCCGAUGGGGUUGGGAAAUCUUUUUAAAGUGCGUCGUGAUGGGGAUAGAGCAUUGAAAAUUUGCUCUUGAACGAGGAAUUCCUAGUAAUUGCAGGUCAUCAACCUGCAAUGAUUACGUCCCUGCCCUUUGUACACACCGCCCGUCGCUCCUACCGAUGGUUGAACCGAUGAGGACUCGGGAUGAUCUUAUUAGAUCGGUCGGUCGAAAGAUCGAUAGACUAUUAGGUCAGAACUUGUUCAAAUCUUUUUAA